UACGUAGGGUGCGAGCGUUGUCCGGAAUUAUUGGGCGUAAAGAGCUUGUAGGCGGUUUGUCGCGUCUGCCGUGAAAAUCCGGGGCUCAACCCCGGACUUGCGGUGGGUACGGGCAGACUAGAGUGUGGUAGGGGAGACUGGAAUUCCUGGUGUAGCGGUGAAAUGCGCAGAUAUCAGGAGGAACACCGAUGGCGAAGGCAGGUCUCUGGGCCACUACUGACGCUGAGAAGCGAAAGCGUGGGUAGCGAACAGG
Molecule: ribosomal RNA, 253 nt
Filed under: uncultured bacterium
Lineage: Bacteria
Description: partial 16S ribosomal RNA
Rfam family: Bacterial small subunit ribosomal RNA
Source: RNAcentral